GCGACCGCGACUUCCUCGACUCCAGCUUCUCCGGCGCAAGCGGAUUUUUGCACCAACACUACCCAUGCAACAAUCAAGCACUGUAAGUCAACAUGCAUACGUCGUAUGCUUUGGCUCUGAAAAGCAGACACUAAAAAAUUUUAGCUGAUCUUCAUUUUCUGACUCAUUGCUUCAAAUGUCUACAUUAAUUUUCAAGGAAUUGAAAAUUAUGUAAUUGCAAUUGGGGGACAAAAUCAACCAUUGCAAUAGCACAAAGAAAAAGAAAAACAAUUCAUAAAAAACAAACCUAGGAAACACCCUCAAGCUCAUAUUUAAGUUUUUUUUCGGAGGAGAAAAGAACUCAUGAACAAUAAAGAAUCUGAUGAACGAUAAUAAUUUCACACCCAUCCUAAACAAAACCUGUCCUCUUACCAUUAUUAUCCAAACUGGCUGCCAACUCUUAUUUUCUUAAUUAUUUCUGUUACUCCUGCAAAUCAUAUCUAAAAUUCAACUAGAUUUUAGCGGUUUCCAACCUCUAUCCUUUCUUACUCUCUCUCACGAUAUGAAUUAGAAACCUCUGAAAUCUCCCAACUUUUCCCAAGAAAAUUUGAUAGACUUCUCCAAAUGCAUGCAGUCAAUUUAUUCUCUUUCCUGUCUUUAAAUAAGAAGGAAAUCCAUGCAAAAUAUUUACAAAUAACAUUUUUUUAAAGAAAAAGAAGAGAAUUGGUUUGCUUUACUAGGAAUAGAGCACAGAAAGACGCAAGAAAUGAGGACGAGACGAAAAAUCGAGAUCCCGGGAAGAAGAACACAUCUCGGCCUCUUCAUAUCGAUCGAGUGGGUGACGCCCAGAGCAGAGAGAAGGGUGACGCCCAGAGCGCAGAGCAGAGAGGUUUGGAGCAGGAGAGCGGUGGAGAGAAGGGCGGAGGAAUGGGGUUCUCCUCCGGUGACUUGGCGGAAAAGCUACGACCCUGGCGUUCUAAAAGGGUCUAGGAUUCAGAUCCGAACCCGGUAAAAGGAGCCGGGGUGGGUGGGGAAACGGAGUUCAAUUUGGG
This 1031-nucleotide long non-coding RNA is filed under the name Elaeis guineensis (African oil palm). Its description in RNAcentral is "long non-coding RNA (EGUI_LNC047854)". The record is from RNAcentral. Lineage: Eukaryota; Viridiplantae; Streptophyta; Magnoliopsida; Arecales; Arecaceae.